RNAcentral lists this transfer RNA (64 nucleotides) under Boreus elegans. RNAcentral describes it as "tRNA-Leu". Lineage: Eukaryota; Metazoa; Arthropoda; Insecta; Mecoptera; Boreidae. The record is from RNAcentral.
ACUAUUUUGGCAGAUUAAUGCAAUAAAUUUAGAAUUUAUUUAUGUAAAUAUUUUACAAAUAGUA